This 86-nucleotide transfer RNA is filed under the name Streptosporangiales bacterium. RNAcentral's name for it is "tRNA-Leu". It matches the Rfam family "tRNA". Rfam says of the family: Transfer RNA (tRNA) molecules are approximately 80 nucleotides in length. The record is from RNAcentral. Lineage: Bacteria; Bacillati; Actinomycetota; Actinomycetes; Streptosporangiales.
GUCCGGGUGGCGGAAUAGGCAGACGCGCUAGCUUGAGGUGCUAGUGCCGCGUAAGCGGCUUGAGGGUUCAAGUCCCUCCUCGGACA